AACGCUGGCGGCAAGCCUAACACAUGCAAGUCGAACGGACAAUUGCUUAUAACCUUUUGGUUAUAAAUAAUUGUUAGUGGCAGACGGGUGAGUAAUGCGUAGGAAUCUACCUAGUAGUAUGGAAUAGCCAUUAGAAAUGAUGGGUAAUACUGUAUAAUCCCUGCGGGGGAAAGAUUUAUCGCUAUUAGAUGAGCCUACGUUAGAUUAGCUAGUUGGUAAGGUAAUGGCUUACCAAGGCUAUGAUCUAUAGCUGGUCUGAGAGGACGAUCAGCCACACUGGAACUGAGAUACGGUUCAGACUCCUACGGGAGGCAGCAGUGGGGAAUAUUGGACAAUGGGCGAAGAGCCUGAUCCAGC
This 357-nucleotide ribosomal RNA is filed under the name uncultured Ehrlichia sp. Its description in RNAcentral is "bacterial SSU rRNA". It matches the Rfam family "Bacterial small subunit ribosomal RNA", at positions 32 to 392 of the family's 1533-position model. The record is from RNAcentral. Lineage: Bacteria; Pseudomonadati; Pseudomonadota; Alphaproteobacteria; Rickettsiales; Anaplasmataceae.